RNAcentral lists this ribosomal RNA (497 nucleotides) under uncultured bacterium. RNAcentral's name for it is "partial 16S ribosomal RNA". It matches the Rfam family "Bacterial small subunit ribosomal RNA", at positions 29 to 507 of the family's 1533-position model. The record is from RNAcentral.
AAUGAACGCUGGCGGCAUGCCUAAUACAUGCAAGUCGAGCGAACAGACGAGGAGCUUGCUCCUCUGGCUUUAGCGCCGGAGGGGAGAGUAACACAUGGAUAACCUACCUAUAAGACUGGGAUACCUUCGGGGAACCAGAUCUAAUACCGGAUAAUAUAUUGAACCGCAUGGUUCCCGAGUUAAAGACGGUUUUGCUUUCACUUAUAGCUUGAUACGCCCCGCAUUAGCUAGUUGGUAAGGUGACGGAUUACCAAGGCUACGAUGCAUAGCCGACCUGAGAGGGUGAUCGGCCACACUGGAACUGAGACACGGUCCAGACUCCUACGGGAGGCAGCAGUAGGGAAUCUUCCGCAAUGGGCGAAAGCCUGACGUAGCAACGCCGCGUGAGUGAUGAAGGUCUUCGGAUCGUAAAACUCUGUUAUUAGGGAAGAACAAAUGUUUAAUUAACUAUGCACAUCUUGACGGUACCUAAUCAGAAAGCCACGGCUAACUACGUG